RNAcentral lists this ribosomal RNA (870 nucleotides) under Triticum aestivum (bread wheat). Its description in RNAcentral is "partial small subunit ribosomal RNA". The record is from RNAcentral. Lineage: Eukaryota; Viridiplantae; Streptophyta; Magnoliopsida; Poales; Poaceae.
AUGGUGAUGUUCGAGACCCCCUCUGGCUUCGCAGUAUUCUAUGCCGAUGGGAUCAGUCUCUACGAACCAGACGCCAUGCAGAAUUUAUGGGGGAACUUCGUCACGGAAAAUAGGGCAAACCAUAUAGUUUGGCGAAAAGACUUCCAAGUAUUUGCGGACAAGGCUGAUGCCAUUAACCUUGAUGAUGGUCUCAACAGUCAGCUUACUGACAUGCUCUUGAAGUGGCAUCAACCUGGGCAGAAAUUGGCUGUUGGAAAGCCUGAAUAUAAAACAAUCAUUGAAGCAAGAUUGGGAAUACCCUGCCUGUUCGAUGAACCUGUGAUGGAGGUGAUGCGCGGCCUGAACUAUCUCAUGCAUAGUUUUUUCCCUGAAGAGAAGUCAAAGCAAGCCGAGGGGGAAUGUCUUCGGAUGAGUCGAGGGCUGAGAAUGCUCGUAGAUCGAUAUGGCUUUGAUGAUGUCAAACUGGACAAUGUUAACGAGUGCAUUAUUGAGACGGCAUGCAUGCUGAAUGAUUGUGAUAGAUGUUUGAAGUCAAUUGGUGAGAGCUGGCGCGGUGCCAGUGCCUUCCUCGAGGGGGUAUCAUCCAUAAAUUCCCAGGAUUGGGACACGCUGAAACUGGCAACGGCCCUGAAGAUGGUGUGUUUCUCAGAAGAGAAGAUUGUAUUUGGCGAUCCGCACGAGAUGUUUUCAGCGGAUGAACUGUCGACGUUGGUGGCUGAUGCGCAUAAAUAUGAAGAUUGUGGGAUCCUUAAGGGAACUGUUGGGAGGUUCUAUAAUAGAACUGUGUUUAUGUAUGAAUCUAGGGCUAAGGGUCAACGACGACUGUCAAGGAGGCUAAAGAGGCAUAUGAAGAAGCUCAACAAGAAGUGA